UCAGGUGUGUGCUGACUGGAGGCUGCUGGCCAGGGAAGCGGGAAGGAAGUGGGCUCUUCAGAGGUGGUGUAUCCAUCCUCUGUAGUUGGUUAGGGCACUUAGUUCACUCUCUCCAGUCGGGGCUGAUUGCAGAGUUCUAACUUUAUAUGUGGUCUGGCCAUUGUCCAUGUGUAUAUUCAGUCUCUCCCAAGCUAGUCAUCUGGUAAGUGACCAGCAAGCUUUAGUUACUCAAUACAAAGAAACCAAACCAGCAUUAGAUGGGGAGGAGAGUUCUAUCUGGAGAUGUAACACUGUGAUGGUGGAAGCAGUCCCAAAGAAUGAUAGCCUGUGAUACCAUGCUUGGGGGUGUGGUCUUCCAGUCUCAUCAGAAAAAGUACAGAGCUCAGAGCAGAGAGAAUCACAUGGAAGCAACUCUCUCCUAGACUCUCCUAGAUGUUAGGUCUCUGAGAUCACAGUAAUGCAGUCAGCAAUGAAAGCUACCUGGUUAAUUAGAGAAACCCAGCUCCAUUGGUGUAAGAGAGAAGUCUGGGCUGCUGAGUGUCUGAUGGGACAAAUCCUUCCAACGGCCGCAGCAGGUGCUUCUUCUAGCCCUGUGUUGCAACGACCUGCAGCUCCUGGGGAUAACUCAGGAACGCUGCUGACGCCAUCAGGAGGCUCAACACCCUCACCCGCUUACGCUACGACCAGCAAAAGCAAACCCCACAGCUGCCUGCCAGCCGGGAAGAAGGACUAUGUUUCCAUGUUGUGAAUCUCCUCAUUGUAGCCAGAUGAUGAAUUUGCUGCUGGCUUUGUGCGAAACUGAGAAAUACCCAGCGUCCAACUGAGGGCCGGGGAGGUAACAAAAUCAAACUGAUGAAUUAAAGAAAUAUUGCCUGGUCAGGAUGCCUGGAGGCCUCAGAGUUCUGAUCUUUCUUCUGAGUUACUACAUCUUCUGGACUGUUCCUAGGGUGGUGUUUGUGAUAAGUUGGUUUGCCCAGUAAAACUGUCACCCAGUCAAGGUAAGCCCUACCUCCUGCGCUUUCUCACGCAGUGGCGUGGAGCGUGGUAGGGAAGAAAGGGCAUUUGACAGCAAGUCGAAAACUUUGGACUUCAUUCGUGGCUGUGAUGUAGGAGUUGGAGUCAGUGGCUCAGUGUUGGGAGCGUCUCAUUUCUCUCCGACUCCAUAGGCUGUGACAUCACCCACAGCUUUGAUUUGUGUGUCCAAACUCAUCCCUGCACUUUCUCUUCAGAAUCUGGCUAACACUUCAAGUUCCUCACCAGCUUCCAGAACUAUGGUUAGCUCAGACUCAGUCACAGCUUCCCCAAACUGUCAUCCUACUGUUUUUAUCUUACGGUUGAAGGAACUGAAUCCCAGGCAGUCUGAGCAGCCCAUUUAGAAUCACACCACAGAUUUCCUCACCCCUGUCCCGCACCACAGAGCCUUCCCAUUUUUACAUGUCUUUUAUAUUAACACAAAACCAAAAACUCAUAAUGAAGGCAGUAGUGUAGAAACCUGAAAGUUAUUUUGUUAUAAAAGUUCACUGUGAACCAGGAUUUAGAAAAUGCAAACCCUCGGGUAAAAUGAAGUGUUUUCGGGAGACUCACCAGCAGGAUCCCUGCCCCCAAUUCUGAGAAUGUGACCAUGAGGACAAGAGGCCCGACUGGUCACCCCAGGCCAGGCCAUCUCUCUGACAGCCUGGAUUUUCCCUGCAUGCCCCCAGAUCCAUCCUAAUCAUGCAGCUCAGGCGCUGAGAGCUACUGAUCAGAUGUCGGCAGGUCAUCUAAAUCCAUAGGCACGGAGCAGCCGCUCUACUUUGCCUGGCAGAGCUGCAGCUGGCACCUGCAGACACCACCCAAGAGACAUUUCUGCAGUGGCUGAAGUGUCCGGAAUCUCUACUCCUGGAGCAGUGGCGAGUGAGCACAGGUGGCUGUGGAGACUUAAAAUGGGGCUAGUGCAAGUAGGAAACUGCAUUUGCAAGUUUAUGUCAUUCUAACUGGUUUAAAGUUUAUGUGGCCACAUGUGGUUAGCAUCUAAUGGAUUGGACGACACAGUUAGAAAAGCCCCUCGCCUGGGCACUGCCAGCUGCAGGCACAUUCCUAACCGAAGACGUACUGCUUGUUCCUCUGGGUAUGCGGGCUGCAGUCUCAGUGUCUGCUCACCCGUGUGGACACGCCUGCCUUUGCCAGCGCAUCACUCAGCUGCCCCUUCCACACACACACAUGCACCCCAUUCACCUUAACUUUGUGCGUCCAAGUCUUUUCUUGGCCUCACCUGCAGUCUUGAUGCCCCAAGUAGAAAUCUUUGCAUGUUGAGUGAGGGGCCUGUGGGCAGCAAACCGCAUUCUCCUUACUCUGCGAUCGUCAAGGAGUCACCCCUGCCACUCUUCUCCCUCUGACCUCAGCGAGAGCACCGCUCAGCAAUUUGCCUAACUGAGAAUCCACAGCUCCCCGGUCCUGUCUGGCUCCCUGCCUUGGAAGCAAUGUUCUCACAUCUUCCUCCACCCAGGCAGCUGCUGGCAUCUCCACAGCUCCCUCUCUCCGCGGCUGAAGUCAGGGCCCACAGAUGGUGCCCCCAUUUUCCUCCGCAGCUCGGCUUACCGCAUUUACAGGGGUGGCAGAAGCCAGUGAGAAUGAAUAUUAAAUUACCUAAGGCAGAACUUCUCAAAAUACACUCCUCAAAACA
This is a long non-coding RNA of Macaca mulatta (Rhesus monkey), 2662 nucleotides long. RefSeq lists it as uncharacterized. The record is from RefSeq and is a predicted model, not a curated record. Lineage: Eukaryota; Metazoa; Chordata; Mammalia; Primates; Cercopithecidae.